UAGUGGCGGACGGGUGAGUAACGCGUGGGUAACCUGCCUUGUACUGGGGGAUAACAGUCAGAAAUGACUGCUAAUACCGCAUAAGCGCACAGAGCUGCAUGGCUCAGUGUGAAAAACUCCGGUGGUAUAAGAUGGACCCGCGUUGGAUUAGCUAGUUGGCAGGGCAGCGGCCUACCAAGGCGACGAUCCAUAGCCGGCCUGAGAGGGUGAACGGCCACAUUGGGACUGAGACACGGCCCAGACUCCUACGGGAGGCAGCAGUGGGGAAUAUUGCACAAUGGGGGAAACCCUGAUGCAGCGACGCCGCGUGAAGGAUGAAGGUUUUCGGAUUGUAAACUUCUUUUAUUAAGGACGAAUUUUGACGGUACUUAAUGAAUAAGCUCCGGCUAACUACGUGCCAGCAGCCGCGGUAAUACGUAGGGAGCAAGCGUUGUCCGGAUUUACUGGGUGUAAAGGGUGCGUAGGCGGCUUUGCAAGUCAGAUGUGAAAUCUAUGGGCUCAACCCAUAAACUGCAUUUGAAACUGUAGAGCUUGAGUGAAGUAGAGGCAGGUGGAAUUCCCGGUGUAGCGGUGGAAUGCGUAGAUAUCGGGAGGAACACCAGUGGCGAAGGCGACCUACUGGGCACCAACUGACGCUGAGGCUCGAAAGCAUGGGUAGCAAACAGGAUUAGAUACCCUGGUAGUCCAUGCCGUAAACGAUGAUUACUAGGUGUUGGAGGAUUGACCCCUUCAGUGCCGCAGUUAACACAAUAAGUAAUCCACCUGGGGAGUACGACCGCAAGGUUGAAACUCAAAGGAAUUGACGGGGGCCCGCACAAGCAGUGGAGUAUGUGGUUUAAUUCGAAGCAACGCGAAGAACCUUACCAGGUCUUGACAUCCGAUGCAUAGUGCAGAGAUGCAUGAAGUCCUACGGGACAUCGAGACAGGUGGUGCAUGGUUGUCGUCAGCUCGUGUCGUGAGAUGUUGGGUUAAGUCCCGCAACGAGCGCAACCCUUAUUGCCAGUUACUACGCAAGAGGACUCUGGCGAGACUGCCGUUGACAAAACGGAGGAAGGUGGGGAUGACGUCAAAUCAUCAUGCCCUUUAUGACCUGGGCUACACACGUACUACAAUGGCGUUUAACAAAGAGAAGCAAGACCGCGAGGUGGAGCAAAACUCAGAAACAACGUCUCAGUUCAGAUUGCAGGCUGCAACUCGCCUGCAUGAAGUCGGAAUUGCUAGUAAUCGAGGAUCAGCAUGCCGCGGUGAAUACGUUCCCGGGCCUU
Molecule: ribosomal RNA, 1265 nt
Filed under: uncultured bacterium
Lineage: Bacteria
Description: partial 16S ribosomal RNA
Rfam family: Bacterial small subunit ribosomal RNA
Source: RNAcentral